UUCGCAAUGCCCGAAAGGGUGACGAAGCGACGCCGCGUGUGGGAAGAAGGCCUUCGGGUUGUAAACCACUGUCGGGAGUUAAGAAAUGCAAGGAUAUUAAUAGUGUCUUUGUUUGACUAAGGCUCCGGAGGAAGCCACGGCUAACUCUGUGCCAGCAGCCGCGGUAAUACAGAGGCGGCAAGCGUUGUUCGGAAUUAUUGGGCGUAAAGAGCACGUAGGCGGCUAUGUAAGUCGGUUGUGAAAGCCUUCCGCUCAACGGAAGAACAGCAUCCGAUACUACAUGGCUUGAGUGCGGGAGGGGAGAGUGGAACUUCUGGUGGAGCGGUGAAAUGCGUAGAUAUCAGAAGGAACGCCGGCGGCGAAAGCGGCUCUCUGGCCCAUAACUGACGCUGAGUGUGCGAAAGCUAGGGGAGCAAACGGGAUUAGAUACCCCGGUAGUUCUAGCCGUAAACGAUGGGCACUAAGUAGAGGGGUUUU
RNAcentral lists this ribosomal RNA (477 nucleotides) under uncultured bacterium. RNAcentral describes it as "bacterial SSU rRNA". It matches the Rfam family "Bacterial small subunit ribosomal RNA", at positions 365 to 832 of the family's 1533-position model. The record is from RNAcentral.